CCUUUACCCCUCACCUCUGUUCCUGUAGAUGAUCCCUGUAGAAUUCAUUGGUUCACCAAUCGCACUUCGGUGCUCUCCAUACUUGGGUCAACCAUGGGUGCUCUCUCUGGGAUCAGAGCAUUGCUGAACCCUCAUCAGAGAGUCUUCUUCUUGCUGUAGACUGUAGUUAACACAGAAAUCCACAACUGGACAAUGUGCAGAGAGUUUUUGGAGCACUCAGCCUUAAUCAUCAACAAACACACUCUCUUCAAGGCUCGGGGAUCUAUUCAGAAGGCUGAAAGGCUGUGAAAACAGAGGUGAUGGAUGACUCCAAGAAAAUAACUUCUUCCAGACACAAGGCUGAUGUACAUAUGAACUUACAGAGACUGUUACAAGUGUGCACAAGUUUAAGGCAGACACAAUCCCAGCACAGAGAAGGGGAAGUAGACACAAAGUCCCACCCAUAACCAAGAAGCUGUUUGCAAUUGGUACCUGCUGGGAGAGAGAAACACUUUUCUUCAACAAGGAUGGUCACAAUCUGCCUGGUGAUGGGCUUCUCGCUGGCCUUUUGGCAACUGUGGAGACCCCCAGCUUGUUCCAGUCAGACUGAAGACUCUCCAGUAUGCUGUGGAGCUGGCUCCUGGGCUUUAGAGGUCCUUGGAGGUUACAAUCCAGCACUGAGGGAAGCCAACACAGGAACAUGAGGCAGCCAGUGACAUCCAGUCAAGAGCAGAGCGAAUGAACGUCUGUAUGUUGACCGACCACUCAGCUCACUUUCUCCAUUUUCAG
This is a non-coding RNA of Peromyscus maniculatus bairdii (prairie deer mouse), 768 nucleotides long. The record is from RefSeq and is a predicted model, not a curated record. NCBI's taxonomy places the organism in Eukaryota, Metazoa, Chordata, Mammalia, Rodentia, Cricetidae.